This is a long non-coding RNA of Homo sapiens (human), 1881 nucleotides long. RefSeq lists it as uncharacterized. Lineage: Eukaryota; Metazoa; Chordata; Mammalia; Primates; Hominidae. The record is from RefSeq and is a predicted model, not a curated record. The transcript has 3 exons.
GCACUGCCCGAGAAGCGGGGUGAAGACAGCGGGAAGCUCAUGCUCACAGGCCGCUCUGUAACUGAAAGAAGCCACAUGGAAGGGAGAAUCCACAUAUUGGAAAAUGGUGCCCGAACCUCUGUUUCCUCCCUCCAUGGAGUGAAUAACUCCCUCCAGGGAAAGCGGUUUCAGGCAUGAACCAUGGACCACAGAGAAGCCACUGGAGCCUGGGGAGAAGCCACCAGGCCACUUGGAAGAAGGCAAGUGGUCCCCAGGUUACCUCUCAUCAGGCCCGGGACAGCCCUGCCCCGCUUCUUCAGCUCCCCGAAGCAGCCGUCGCAGACCUUGGCCAUCCUGUCCUUCAGGUACUUCAGCGGGUACUUGUUCCGCGAACAGUUCCGGCACACGAUCUGCAGGCCCAGGUGGGAAGAUUCUCACCCCUCUCAGUGCAUGCAAAGGAGACCUGCACCCCUCCCCUCCGCUCCCUCUGCUAAUCCACCCACAACUGCCCCUAGGGAGCCCCAGGUUCUGAUCAUGGAGCUGUGCGUGUCCCCUACUUUUCCGGCAAGGCUUCAUCUUGUUUCUGAGCCAGCGCCUAUCUGCUUUUCUGAUGAGCCCGCGCCCUUAACCACUACAUGAUACUUUUUUCUCCAAGCACAAUAGCCACGUAUGCUACGGUUUUCUGUUGAAAACGUGGUGGUGUGGAAGAGGCCUGGGACUUGGAGCUCUGGUUUGAUGAUCUAUAAAAUGGGAAUUAGCAAUCUGUUCCUCUCGGGUUGGUGUGAACAUGCCUCACUCUGGGGCUUACAGUAGCUGCUGGACAUCCCUGAGCCCCCGGCUGGGCAGGGACAUGCCCUUCCCCCACCCCACCCCCAUGCACACACUCACCCCAGAUGCAGCGACUCACCUUGCCACAGGCGUGACAGUGAUGACGCCGCAGGGUGAGGGAGAAGUCGCAGCCGCAGUUCAUGCACAUCAUGACGUGUGUGACAGGCACCAGGGUGGGGGGCCUCUCCCCAAGGCUAACCCCCAGCCUCUCUCGUAUCUGCAGCAACAGAAUUGGCUGAGUAAUGUGGAAUGUGGCCAGGAGACCAGCCAGAUGCAGAGCCCAGUGAGCCCUGCCCUGCGUCUCUGUGCAGGGUGUGUGAUGUGUGGCUUCCCAGACAGUCAUCCAACAGGCACUUUCCAAGUCCCUGCUCUGCACCAGGGAGGGCUUCCUGAGUGGCAAGAGCUACGCCUGGGCUGGGUGCCAGCUAGCUGGGUGAAGUUCUCACAGUGUCCACUAGAUGCCGCGCCUACACCACAGGUAAGUGUGCAGCCUGCCCCGGAAAGCAAGCAUAAGGGCCCGCUGGCCUGGGCGGGAGCAGUGCUGCAGGGCAGAGGCUGAAUCAGCAUUGUGGGCAGCAAGACACCAUGUCCCUAAAAUGUGAUGAAUGGGUCCUGCGGUCCCCUGGGAGCUUCAAGUGUGAAGGGUCUGGACUAGCAGGAAGGUGACUGGCAUGCUAAAGGCCACUGUCCUUGCCCUGGGAGAUGGGCAGCCCCACCUGAAGGCCCACGUGUGGAUCGUCACCACCCUCAAGUCAUGGCCGGACUAACAGAAACUAUUUGCUGGCAGCCUCCUGCCCUUGAUUUUAUCACAAGGAGAGGUGAGGCCACGACCCCCACCCAGGCAUCACCUCCUCCAGGAAGCAUUCCCUCACUCCUCCAGAUGGGGCAGUCCCUCCUUUGGGUUUCCAAGCCCUUUUCUACUCCCUCAUGCAGUAGACUGUAACAGAUAAGAGCUCUGGUCCACACAGUCCUGGGUUCAAACUCCAGUUCCACCUCACCUGGCUGUGUGACCCUUUUGCAAGCCUCAACUCCCUAUGCAUGGAAGGAGCCGCAAACCCCAGCUCUAAGGGUGGU